This 478-nucleotide ribosomal RNA is filed under the name uncultured bacterium. Its description in RNAcentral is "partial 16S ribosomal RNA". It matches the Rfam family "Bacterial small subunit ribosomal RNA", at positions 28 to 523 of the family's 1533-position model. The record is from RNAcentral.
GACGAACGCUGGCGGCGUGCUUAACACAUGCAAGUCGAACGGUAAGGCCCUUCGGAGUACACGCGUGGCGAACGGGUGAGUAACACGUGGGUGAUCUGCCCUGCACUUCGGGCUAAGCCUGGGAAACUGGGUCUAAUACCGGAUAGGACCACUGCCUGCAUGGGUGGUGGUGGCAAGAUAGUGCGGUGUGGGAUGGGCCCGCGGCCUAUCAGCUUGUUGGUGGGGUGAUGGCCUACCAAGGCGACGACGGGUAGCCGGCCUGAGAGGGUGACCGGCCACACUGGGACUGAGAUACGGCCCAGACUCCUACGGGAGGCAGCAGUGGGGAAUAUUGCACAAUGGGCGCAAGCCUGAUGCAGCGACGCCGCGUGAGGGAUGACGGCCUUCGGGUUGUAAACCUCUUUCAGCACCGACGAAGCGCAAGUGACGGUAGGUGCAGAAGAAGGACCAGCCAACUACGUGCCAGCCGCCGCGGUAA